This 338-nucleotide ribosomal RNA is filed under the name uncultured bacterium. RNAcentral's name for it is "bacterial SSU rRNA". It matches the Rfam family "Bacterial small subunit ribosomal RNA", at positions 28 to 367 of the family's 1533-position model. The record is from RNAcentral.
GACGAACGCUGGCGGCGUGCUUAACACAUGCAAGUCGAGCGGUAAGGCCCUUUCGGGGGUACGACGAGCGGCGAACGGGUGAGUAACACGUGGGUGACCUGCCCUCAGCUCUGGGAUAAGCCUGGGAAACCGGGUCUAAUACUGGAUAUGACUCCAUGACGCAUGUUGUGGGGUGGAAAGCCUUGUGCGGCUGAGGAUGGGCCCGCGGCCUAUCAGCUUGUUGGUGGGGUGAGGCCUACCAAGGCGACGACGGGUAGCCGGCCUGAGAGGGCGACCGGCCACACUGGGACUGAGACACGGCCCAGACUCCUACGGGAGGCAGCAGUGGGGAAUCUUGC